RNAcentral lists this ribosomal RNA (481 nucleotides) under Pomacentrus amboinensis (Ambon damsel). RNAcentral's name for it is "partial small subunit ribosomal RNA". It matches the Rfam family "Bacterial small subunit ribosomal RNA", at positions 788 to 1491 of the family's 1533-position model. Lineage: Eukaryota; Metazoa; Chordata; Actinopteri; Pomacentridae. The record is from RNAcentral.
CACUAUGCUCAGCCCUAAAAUUCGAUAGGUCACUACGCCCCCUAUCCGCCCGGGUACUACGAGCAUCAGCUUGAAACCCAAAGGACUUGGCGGUGCUUCACAUCCGUCUAGAGGAGCCUGUCCUGUAACCGAUAAUCCCCGUUAAACCUCACCCUCCCUUGUUAAUUCCGCCUAUAUACCGCCGUCGUCAGCCUACCCUGUGAAGGACUAAAAGUGAGCAAGAUUGGUAAGACCCAAAACGUCAGGUCGAGGUGUAGUAUAUGAGAGGGGAAGAGAUGGGCUACAUUUCCUAAAUCAGGAAAUACGAACAAUGAACUGAAAUAAGCAUUAGAAGGUGGAUUUAGCAGUAAGCAGAGAAGCAGAGUGUCCUGCUGAAGUUAAUGGCAAUAGAGCACGUACAUAUCGCCCGUCACUCUCCCCGAGCCUAACGUAUUUGAACGUACAUAAAAAGCCACAUCUGCAAAGGGGAGGCAAGUCGUAA